AUGCAAUAUCUAAUGGCAUCUAGAUUUGUUGCCAGACUUGCAUCAGUUGAAAAACCAUGUCUCAUUGUUCCAGUUACUUCAUGCAAACUGGAAAUGUUCCAAUUCCUUUGUACUUGGUCUUUUAACUUGCGGAUGGAGACUGCUGUGCAGGAAGUACCUCUUCUAGUUUGUCUUGAAACCAUACAACAAUUAGGAAGUCUUCACUUAUCAAUGUAUACAUGCAGGCAAGGGUGCCAUUGCCUAAGAUUAACCGAUGGCUUUGACGAAGGGUGCCAUUUCAGUAUUCUUCAGGUUACUGAUUUGUCUAUGGUUCAUUACUCCUGCAUGCACAGCGAAAGAUAG
RNAcentral lists this ribosomal RNA (342 nucleotides) under Triticum aestivum (bread wheat). RNAcentral describes it as "partial small subunit ribosomal RNA". The record is from RNAcentral. Lineage: Eukaryota; Viridiplantae; Streptophyta; Magnoliopsida; Poales; Poaceae.